Molecule: non-coding RNA, 45 nt
Filed under: Schistosoma mansoni
Lineage: Eukaryota; Metazoa; Platyhelminthes; Trematoda; Strigeidida; Schistosomatidae
Source: RNAcentral
GGUCAACUGACGAGUUCCAAAUGGGACGAAACGCGCGUCGUGAAU